UUUCGCAAUGCCCGAAAGGGUGAACGAGCGACACCGCGUGCGGGAUGAAGGGUUUCGGCCUGUAAACCGCUUUUGUUUGGGAAGAAUGCCCAGGUCGUGAACUUGGGAGUGACGGUACCAGACGAAUAAGCCCCGGCUAACUCCGUGCCAGCAGCCGCGGUAAGACGGGGGGGGCAAACGUUGUUCGGAAUCACUGGGCAUAAAGAGCACGUAGGCGGUCGUGCAAGUCCACUGUGAAAUCCCCCGGCCUAAUCGGGGAACUGCAGUGGAUACUACACGACUAGAGUGCAGGAGGGGAGAGUGGAAUUCCAGGUGGAGCGGUGAAAUGCGUAGAUAUCUGGAGGAACGCCGGUGGCGAAAGCGACUCUCUGGCCUGUUACUGACGCUGAGGUGCGAAAGCUAGGGGAGCAAACGGGAUUAGAUACCCCGGUAGUCCUAGCCCUAAACGAUGGGCACUAAGUAGAGGGGUUUUAAUCUC
Molecule: ribosomal RNA, 478 nt
Filed under: uncultured bacterium
Lineage: Bacteria
Description: bacterial SSU rRNA
Rfam family: Bacterial small subunit ribosomal RNA
Source: RNAcentral